Molecule: ribosomal RNA, 301 nt
Filed under: uncultured bacterium
Lineage: Bacteria
Description: bacterial SSU rRNA
Rfam family: Bacterial small subunit ribosomal RNA
Source: RNAcentral
GUGCCAGCAGCCGCGGCAAUACGUAGGGUGCGAGCGUUAAUCGGAAUUACUGGGCGUAAGGCGUGCGCAGGCGGUUUGUUAAGAUAGGCGUGAAAUCCCCGGGCUCAACCUGGGAACUGCCUCCAAAACUUCCAGUCUGGAGUUCGAGAGAGGUGAGUGGAAUUCCGAGUGUAGAGGUGAAAUUCGUAGAUAUUCGGAGGAACACCAGUGGCGAAGGCGGCUCACUGGCUCGAUACUGACGCUGAGGUGCGAAAGUGUGGGGAGCAAACAGGAUUAGAUACCCUGGUAGUCCACACCGUAA